UCAAUUCUACCCCAGAUGUAAAAAACUGGGUAUUACACAUAUGUGUUUUGCAGAUGACCUGUUGUUGUUUGCUAAGGGAGACCUCAACUCUGUUAAGGCAUUAUCCAACUGUUUUUCUCAAUUCUCAGCAGCCUCAGGUCUUAAGGCCAAUUUGAACAAAAGCUCAGUCUACUUUGGAGGAGUACCAAUACUUGUGCAGCAGCAGAUCCUUGACCAUCUUGGCUAUGAACAAGGCCAACUGCCUUUCAAGUGCCUGGGAGUACCACUGAGUACCAAGAAAAUGAGCUUCAUUUGGUCUGGGAUGAAUACUGUCACUAAAAAAGCAUACAUUUCCUGGGACAAAAUGUGCACCCCAAAGUCAGUAGAGGGAAUAAACCUAACCAACCUCAAACUGUGGAACAAGGCUGCCAUUGCAAAGACCUGCUGGGACAUAGCACAGUUGGUGGAAUGAACCUAACCAACCUCAAACUAUGGAACAAGGCUGCCAUUGCAAAGACAUGCUGGGACAUAGCACAUAAGAAGGAUAAGAUGUGGAUCAGGUGGAUCACAGUGUAUUACAUCAAAGACAGGACAUUAGAA
RNAcentral lists this long non-coding RNA (579 nucleotides) under Nicotiana benthamiana. RNAcentral's name for it is "long non-coding RNA (NBEN_LNC019783)". The record is from RNAcentral. Lineage: Eukaryota; Viridiplantae; Streptophyta; Magnoliopsida; Solanales; Solanaceae.